GAGUUUGAUCUUGGCUCAGGAUGAACGCUGGCGGCGUGCCUAAUACAUGCAAGUCGAACGAACAGAUAAGGAGCUUGCUCCUUUGACGUUAGCGGCGGACGGGUGAGUAACACGUGGGUAACCUACCUAUAAGACUGGAAUAACUCCGGGAAACCGGGGCUAAUGCCGGAUAACAUGUUGAACCGCAUGGUUCUACAGUGAAAGACGGUCUUGCUGUCACUUAUAGAUGGACCCGCGCCGUAUUAGCUAGUUGGUGGGUAACGGCCUACCAAGGCGACGAUACGUAGCCGACCUGAGAGGGUGAUCGGCCACACUGGAACUGAGACACGGUCCAGACUCCUACGGGAGGCAGCAGUAGGGAAUCUUCCGCAAUGGGCGAAAGCCUGACGGAGCAACGCCGCGUGAGUGAUGAAGGUCUUCGGAUCGUAAAGCUCUGUUGUUAGGGAAGAACAAAUGUGUAAGUAACUGUGCAUAUCUUGACGGUACCUAACCAGAAAGCCACGGCUAACUACGUGCCAGCAGCCGCAACG
RNAcentral lists this ribosomal RNA (530 nucleotides) under uncultured microorganism. RNAcentral's name for it is "bacterial SSU rRNA". It matches the Rfam family "Bacterial small subunit ribosomal RNA", at positions 9 to 527 of the family's 1533-position model. The record is from RNAcentral.